GCCCUGCCUGCGGGCUCGGCUGCAGCCGCCGGCCGCGCCGAGACGACGCCGGGACUGGGAUCGGCGAUACAAUCUCCCGCGAACCUCGCCGUGACACCGCCGCCGACAGCACCCGCGGUCUGCCUGGACUAAACCCGCCGCCGGCGCCGUCUCCCCCAGCAACCUCGCGGCAGCUCGAUUUGUACUUUCUGGUUUGCUCUGUCCUGCAGGUUCGACAGUUUGGUAACAGAAGCUGCAUCUCGACCAUCAGGCAAUAGAAACAGAAGCAGGGCUACAGAUUGGCCUUGUGCUUAGCAGCUACAAGUGGUGUGCAACUGUCAUCAGUUCUACUAUCUGUCAAAAUAUUGUGGGUCAUUCUUUUUAUCUCAUCCACAGGUGCAGCAGCGACAGCAGCAUGUCAGCAGUUUUACUAAGUCAUCACUUAUCAGUGUCAUCCUACUGAAGCAUUACGGCUGAAGACUUGAAGCUGGAUGAUUGCAUAUAGACUAUGGAACAAUGUGGGAUUGUAAAGUAAAUUAGUCAAAAUAAUAUAAAAUUCAUGUAAUUGCAUGGAAGAUGGUAGGGAUAUUGGAAAUAUUUAGGUCUUGUGGAAUCUAAUUGGCCCUUAUUGAAAAUUUCAGGUGUGAAGGUACUAUACUGGAUAGUUUUCUAAGUUCAGAUUUGAUUAGUGAUUUUCAGUAAAUAUAUCUAUAUCUUUUCUUAAUUCAGAUUCAAUCAUGGAUUGGGAUCAUGUGUUGUGGCCCUAACAAAACAAUUAAACCUGUAUUUUUUCCUUUUCCAAUUCUAAUGUUCUCAUGUGCUGCAGCCUUCAGCAUUUCUGUCAUAGCUAUAACGGCUCCUAAACAAGAAGUGUAACAAACAGGCAAUCCAUGUGAAGGAUAUUGAACAAUCAAAUUUGCAGGAGAAAAAUCGGAGCUGAGUUAUGCUUUGGAAUGGAGGAUAUAUCCACAAGGAACUAGCAAACACACUAGGUGAGCAUUUAUUCUCCCAAGGCCCCAAAUUGCCUUUGCUAUAUCAUGCCAUAUGCUGCUGGAAAUUAAAUUCCAUGCCAAUGUAUUUUAUGGUAUUGUAUCAUUGUGUUCGGAUUAACAUCUUUGUGUGAGAUUUGCUAUUCCUGUAUAUAUAUAAUUUAGAUUUUGAUCUCAUGAGAUUUUAUUAUUAAUUCUGGUUUGCAGUGGAUUUGGCCAACUAAGUAUAUAUUAGUAGUAAUAUAUCACAUUAUUGUCCCUUGAACUCUCUUGUGUGUAUGCACAUCUAUUGCAGUAAUUGAAUGAAUAGAUUGUGAAA
Molecule: long non-coding RNA, 1287 nt
Organism: Panicum virgatum (switchgrass)
Lineage: Eukaryota; Viridiplantae; Streptophyta; Magnoliopsida; Poales; Poaceae
Exons: 3
Source: RefSeq, a predicted model, not a curated record